UAUUGAUGCAUAAGGUCGUUGAUAAUUUGGCGAUAUUAUAUAAUGGAUUGCAGGUGACUAACUCAACUAUAUUUAGGUGUACAAAAAAUAUAUAGAGCAAGUUGAUUUUACGGAAUUAGUUGUUGCUAAUUGAGAAAGGCUAAGUGGCUUACCUGAGAUGUUGCACAUUGUUAUGAUCGAUGGUUACGCUUCGUUUUCUGAAGAAAAUUCUACCAAACCAAAACAAAAUACAGAACUCCACAUACACUUAAGCUAGCAGUUGUUUCUCUUUGUUAACUCUAACUAUUGAGCGGUAACGUAUAGUCACAGUGCAGGCCGCCUACCGACGGGCCUCCGCUUGCUGCAGCUUCUCUGUGGCUUCAUCCUUUCCCUGACUCGGUCUUCUGCAGAUCGAGAUGGACAACAUCUGAAUUUUAUCGGGGGUUGGAAGGCCAAGGAGAACGAGAAGGAAGUCGCAGCCUUGGAUGCCACAGUGAAAAGUGACGUCGACACCGGUGAUAAUUUUAUUGGGGAUUGGAAGGCCAAGGAGAACGAGAAGGAAGCCGCAGCCUUGGAUGCCACAGUGGAAAGUGACAUCGACACCGGUGAUAAGGAACUCCCAAAAUUUCUCCCGCGCCGGUUCUUUCUUCGCCAUCUUCUCUCCAUAUCACUGUGAUAUUUUCCCUGCCUUACAUAGGUUUAUACAUGAUGACUGGUACAUGAGCAUCCUAAUUAUCACUAAUUAUUUUGGUGGUCAAACCAAUUGUGUGUAGCCAUGUACUAAACCUGGUAUUUCCUCAUAUCAGUGUGUAAAUAAGCGAAUUUUAACAUUCCCCAAAAUUUGCUGCAUGCCUUUACUAAAUCAGUGGUAUUUACUAGGCUAUUGGAUUUUAUGUUAUUUUAAUUUUUUGCAUUCACUACAAUAUUAUUUUUCUGCAUUUCGGCUUACUUGUGUUAUAGGUAUUAAUUUGUGAUCUUAUAUUUAUUUAUUGUGGUUCCUAUGUUUCUUGAUAGGUGCAUGAUGCAUGUGUCUGCUAUCUUGAAUAUCAGUGAGAAUUAUAUCAUGAUCAAGAAGUGAACUCUCAAAAGGCAUUCUGAUUUGCAAAUGUCCUCUCUUGAAAAAUUCUUAUGGUAAUUUGGUCAUUCUAGGUGCAGGAAGAGUAGUGUUCUCAAGCUAUUAAGAUUGUUUCCUUUAAAUGGUAAUUGUUAUAUGGUUUUAUUUUCUAAUUGAUCAGAUAAAUAGGUUGUAUACUGAAGGGGUGAGAUCAGGUGUCUUCCCUGUUUAUGUACUAUUGUGAGUGACUUCAUUCUUUUUGGAGCUCUCUUGGACAAACAAUUAGAGAUCAAGAAUAUGUUCUCGUGAAAACAUUGUUUCCUGACAUCCAACGGAUCACUAGAGGUGGGUGUUCAAGAUCUCAAUAGUCGCUUGGGGCCAUUCAAUACGUAGUAGUAGUUUGGACAUUGUGGACUUCUUGAGUCAAAUGCUCUUUAUGGAAAGUAUAGAAACAUGGAAAUUUAGAAGGGUAUUUGGAAGGGUGGUUCCAGCUGCAGCUUACAUGUCACUGGGCUUGCAAUGCUCAAUGCAUCCGAAUUAUUUUGCUUCAGGUUUAAACCAUAGCAUUCUCUCCGUCAUAUACAUCAUUCUAUUGGAGAAGUCCCAGUCUACUUCCUUCGAGCAAGCAGUGUAUAGGUUGUUGACCUUAGUUCAUAGUAAGACAUGUUUAUUAAUGAAGAUUUACAUAUUGUUUCACUGACAUGUAUUAAUAAAGAUUUACAUAUUGUUUCGUCCAUCGGAUAGUCUUCCAUUUGA
Molecule: RNA transcript, 1789 nt
Organism: Lolium rigidum
Lineage: Eukaryota; Viridiplantae; Streptophyta; Magnoliopsida; Poales; Poaceae
Exons: 6
Source: RefSeq, a predicted model, not a curated record